GAGUUUGAUCCUGGCUCAGGAUGAACGCUGGCGGCGUGCUUAACACAUGCAAGUCGAACGAAGCACUACCGACGGAACUUUUCGGAGGGAAGAUGGUAAUGACUGAGUGGCGGACGGGUGAGUAACGCGUGGGCAACCUGCCCCAUAGAGGGGGACAACAGCUGGAAACGGCUGCUAAUACCGCAUAACAAGGAGAGAGCGCAUGUUCUUUUCUUCAAAGAUUUAUCGCUAUGGGAUGGACCCGCGUCUGAUUAGCUGGUUGGUGAGGUAACGGCUCACCAAGGCGACGAUCAGUAGCCGGCUUGAGAGAGUGGACGGCCACAUUGGGACUGAGACACGGCCCAGACUCCUACGGGAGGCAGCAGUGGGGAAUAUUGCACAAUGGGGGAAACCCUGAUGCAGCGACGCCGCGUGAGUGAAGAAGUAUUUCGGUAUGUAAAGCUCUAUCAGCAGGGAAGAUAAUGAUGGUACCUGACUAAGAAGCCCCGGCUAACUACGUGCCAGCCG
RNAcentral lists this ribosomal RNA (507 nucleotides) under uncultured microorganism. RNAcentral describes it as "bacterial SSU rRNA". It matches the Rfam family "Bacterial small subunit ribosomal RNA", at positions 9 to 514 of the family's 1533-position model. The record is from RNAcentral.